CACAACAUUUUAGAAGAGAAUGUGAGUGAUUUAAAAACAAAAUCGCUUACAAAAAAAAAAAAAAAGAAGCAACCCUUUCUUUCUCUUUCCAGUGCCACAUUCAUCCUUUCAUUCCCACCACAUGUAACCAAAGAUCAUAGGGAAAACAUUAGGAAAAUAACAAAAAAAAAAGAGAAAAAGAAUAAGAAAGAUAGAGAUAGGGCAAAAACUAAAAUCAUUUGACAAACAAACUCAACAACAUUUUAGAACAAAAUGUGAUUAUGAAAAAAAUAAUUGCUUGAGAAAAAAAAAUCUGAAUCAACCACCUUUUUUUUCUCUUCUCAGAGCCACAAUCGACCCUCUAAUCUCAGAACCUGAAACCAAAGACAGUAGGAAAUAGGAAAUUAAACAUAAAAAAAAACAAAAGAGGAGAAAGAACAACUUAGGAAAAACAUUAAAAAGAAAAGAGAAAGAAGAACACAAAUAAAAAAUAAAGAAAAAGAAGACUUGCAAAGAGGAAAAAU
This 503-nucleotide long non-coding RNA is filed under the name Glycine max (soybean). RNAcentral's name for it is "long non-coding RNA (GMAX_LNC000617)". The record is from RNAcentral. Lineage: Eukaryota; Viridiplantae; Streptophyta; Magnoliopsida; Fabales; Fabaceae.